UACGUAGGGUCCGAGCGUUGUCCGGAAUUAUUGGGCGUAAAGGGCUCGUAGGCGGUUCGUCACGUCGGGUGUGAAAACUCGGGGCUUAACCCCGAGCCUGCUUCCGAUACGGGCAGACUAGAGGUAGGUAGGGGAGAACGGAAUUCCUGGUGUAGCGGUGGAAUGCGCAGAUAUCAGGAGGAACACCGGUGGCGAAGGCGGUUCUCUGGGCCGUUCCUGACGCUGAGGAGCGAAAGCGUGGGGAGCGAACAGG
This 253-nucleotide ribosomal RNA is filed under the name uncultured bacterium. RNAcentral describes it as "partial 16S ribosomal RNA". It matches the Rfam family "Bacterial small subunit ribosomal RNA", at positions 524 to 776 of the family's 1533-position model. The record is from RNAcentral.